RNAcentral lists this ribosomal RNA (492 nucleotides) under uncultured bacterium. RNAcentral's name for it is "partial 16S ribosomal RNA". It matches the Rfam family "Bacterial small subunit ribosomal RNA", at positions 29 to 507 of the family's 1533-position model. The record is from RNAcentral.
AGUGAACGCUGGCGGUAGGCCUAACACAUGCAAGUCGAACGGCAGCACAGUAAGAGCUUGCUCUUACGGGUGGCGAGUGGCGGACGGGUGAGGAAUACAUCGGAAUCUACUUUUUCGUGGGGGAUAACGUAGGGAAACUUACGCUAAUACCGCAUACGACCUACGGGUGAAAGCAGGGGAUCUUCGGACCUUGCGCGAUUGAAUGAGCCGAUGUCGGAUUAGCUAGUUGGCGGGGUAAAGGCCCACCAAGGCGACGAUCCGUAGCUGGUCUGAGAGGAUGAUCAGCCACACUGGAACUGAGACACGGUCCAGACUCCUACGGGAGGCAGCAGUGGGGAAUAUUGGACAAUGGGCGCAGGCCUGAUCCAGCCAUACCGCGUGGGUGAAGAAGGCCUUCGGGUUGUAAAGCCCUUUUGUUGGGAAAGAAAAGCAGCAGGUUAAUACCCCGCUGUUUUGACGGUACCCAAAGAAUAAGCACCGGCUAACUUCGUG